AAUACUAUACUUUCAGGGAUCAUUUCUAUAGUUUCUGACUAGGAAAUGCAUUUCAAAAGUGUUAACCCAGGUGGAUGUUCACACCCAUCUAAUAUAGUGGG
Molecule: small nucleolar RNA, 101 nt
Gene: U3
Rfam family: Small nucleolar RNA U3
About the family: Small nucleolar RNAs (snoRNAs) are involved in the processing and modification of rRNA in the nucleolus. There are two main classes of snoRNAs: the box C/D class, and the box H/ACA class.
Source: Ensembl